Molecule: ribosomal RNA, 279 nt
Filed under: Dorea longicatena
Lineage: Bacteria; Bacillati; Bacillota; Clostridia; Lachnospirales; Lachnospiraceae
Description: partial 16S ribosomal RNA
Rfam family: Bacterial small subunit ribosomal RNA
Source: RNAcentral
UAUGGUAGUGCCAGCAGCCGCGGUAAUACGUAGGGGGCAAGCGUUAUCCGGAUUUACUGGGUGUAAAGGGAGCGUAGACGGCACGGCAAGCCAGAUGUGAAAGCCCGGGGCUCAACCCCGGGACUGCAUUUGGAACUGCUGAGCUAGAGUGUCGGAGAGGCAAGUGGAAUUCCUAGUGUAGCGGUGAAAUGCGUAGAUAUUAGGAGGAACACCAGUGGCGAAGGCGGCUUGCUGGACGAUGACUGACGUUGAGGCUCGAAAGCGUGGGGAGCAAACAGG